Myxocyprinus asiaticus (Chinese sucker) is the source of this 574-nucleotide long non-coding RNA. RefSeq lists it as uncharacterized. Lineage: Eukaryota; Metazoa; Chordata; Actinopteri; Cypriniformes; Catostomidae. The record is from RefSeq and is a predicted model, not a curated record. The transcript has 3 exons.
GAUGGCAGCCCCUGUACGUCUGUUUUCAAGGCGUUGGAGGAGGAUUCAGAUUGGGGGUUCCUCAGGCAUAUAUUGUCUUUUGAGGUGUCACCCAUCAUCAUGUUCUGUUUAUUCCCCUCCAACUUCUCGAACAAGACAGGGGCUUGCUCCAUCUUCACCUGGGAAACCGUCUUACCUAUGUCAACAUCAGGAGAAGAAGAAAUCAUAUAAUUACAUGGAACCACUACAUUGUUGUAAAUUGCUCUCUCAAAAUGAAAUGCCUUUUAUUCCCUAACCUCUUGAGUCUCUACAGUUUCUUUCUGUUUAGUGGAGGGAUAUCGACAACCAGCAGGUUCUACAUCCACUAUUACUUCCACCUGUUUCUUCCUUUGGGGUCCAAUAUGUUUGUGUUUUGCUACCGCUGUUGCAUAAGACAAUGGAGUGACUGAUAUUCUGGAUCUGGUCAAGGGUGGAAAAGCCACUUCAUCUACAAUGGACUCCAAAUUGCUGGAUGGACAUAUUCUUGUCCAUCCAUUGGGCUGUAUUUUCUUUCACCUUUUCUAGGGUUUCAGAAUAGUGUGAUGAGGGCUUAAUG